AUUAGAUAAAAAACCAAAUGCUCGUGAUGCUUUCUGGUGAUUCAUAAUAACUAAACGAAUCGCAUGGCCUUGAGCCGGCGAUGGUUCAUUCAAAUUUCUGCCCUAUCAACUUUCGAUUGAUGCUCGUCGUAGUACAAUGGUUAUGUGACUAAACGGAGAAUUAGGGUUCGGUUCCGGAGAGGGAGCCUGAGAAACGGCUACCACAUCCAAGGAAGGCAGCAGGCGCGCAAAUUACAUGCUCGUCGUAGAUGGAGGUAGUGACAAUAAAUACUGAUACAGUGCUCUUUUGGGUCUUGUAAUUGGAAUGAGUACAAUGCUCGUAAUUUAACGAGGAACAAUUGGAGGGCAAGUCUGGUGCCAGCAGUAGGCUCGCUUCCAGCUCCAAUAGCGUAUAUUAAAGUUGUUGCAGUUAAAAAGCUAGCAGUUGAACCUUGGGUCUGGCUGGCCGGUCCGCCUCACCGAUGCUCGCUCUCCGGCCGGACCUUUCCUCUUGGGGAUCCGCAUGCCCUUUACUGGGAGCUCCGUGAUAGUCGUCGCUGAUAGAUGUCGC
This 550-nucleotide ribosomal RNA is filed under the name uncultured fungus. RNAcentral's name for it is "bacterial SSU rRNA". It matches the Rfam family "Eukaryotic small subunit ribosomal RNA", at positions 209 to 755 of the family's 1831-position model. Lineage: Eukaryota; Fungi. The record is from RNAcentral.